RNAcentral lists this long non-coding RNA (244 nucleotides) under Capsicum annuum. RNAcentral describes it as "long non-coding RNA (CANN_LNC022593)". The record is from RNAcentral. Lineage: Eukaryota; Viridiplantae; Streptophyta; Magnoliopsida; Solanales; Solanaceae.
AAAAUGUUUAGGUGUAGGUACUUGAAAUGAGAACUUUUCAUUUUAAAUUUAGUAGAGUUAGGUAACCUAUGAAGUGACUUAGUGACUUGAAAUGUUUAAGUGUAGUUACUUGAAUUAUGAAUUAGUGACUUUUGUUUUGAAUUUAGGAACUUGAAAUGUGAACUUGCAUUUUCAUUUUAGUAAAGUGUGGUCACUUGAGAAGUGAAUUAGUGACUUGAAAAUGUUUUAAGUGUAGGUACUUGAA